This 674-nucleotide ribosomal RNA is filed under the name Escherichia coli. RNAcentral's name for it is "partial 23S ribosomal RNA". It matches the Rfam family "Bacterial large subunit ribosomal RNA", at positions 2259 to 2925 of the family's 2925-position model. Lineage: Bacteria; Pseudomonadati; Pseudomonadota; Gammaproteobacteria; Enterobacterales; Enterobacteriaceae. The record is from RNAcentral.
UGGUGGGUAGUUUGACUGGGGCGGUCUCCUCCUAAAGAGUAACGGAGGAGCACGAAGGUUGGCUAAUCCUGGUCGGACAUCAGGAGGUUAGUGCAAUGGCAUAAGCCAGCUUGACUGCGAGCGUGACGGCGCGAGCAGGUGCGAAAGCAGGUCAUAGUGAUCCGGUGGUUCUGAAUGGAAGGGCCAUCGCUCAACGGAUAAAAGGUACUCCGGGGAUAACAGGCUGAUACCGCCCAAGAGUUCAUAUCGACGGCGGUGUUUGGCACCUCGAUGUCGGCUCAUCACAUCCUGGGGCUGAAGUAGGUCCCAAGGGUAUGGCUGUUCGCCAUUUAAAGUGGUACGCGAGCUGGGUUUAGAACGUCGUGAGACAGUUCGGUCCCUAUCUGCCGUGGGCGCUGGAGAACUGAGGGGGGCUGCUCCUAGUACGAGAGGACCGGAGUGGACGCAUCACUGGUGUUCGGGUUGUCAUGCCAAUGGCACUGCCCGGUAGCUAAAUGCGGAAGAGAUAAGUGCUGAAAGCAUCUAAGCACGAAACUUGCCCCGAGAUGAGUUCUCCCUGACUCCUUGAGAGUCCUGAAGGAACGUUGAAGACGACGACGUUGAUAGGCCGGGUGUGUAAGCGCAGCGAUGCGUUGAGCUAACCGGUACUAAUGAACCGUGAGGCUUAACCUUAC